Molecule: ribosomal RNA, 846 nt
Filed under: uncultured archaeon
Lineage: Archaea
Description: bacterial SSU rRNA
Rfam family: Archaeal small subunit ribosomal RNA
Source: RNAcentral
AGCCACCGCUAUUGGAAUCCGAUUAAGACAUGUGAGUCGAGAGUCUUCGGGACUCGGCAGACGGCUCAGUAACACGCGGAUAAUCUGCCCUUAGGUGGGGAAUAAUCUCGGGAAACUGAGCAUAAUACCCCAUAGGCCUGAGAUGCUGGAACGCCCUCAGGCUAAAAGCUCCGGCGCCUAAGGAUGAGUCUGCGGCCUAUCAGCUAGUAGUUGGUGUAAAUGACCAACUAGGCGACGACGGGUACGGGCAUUGGGAGAUGUAGCCCGGAGAUGGACUCUGAGACACGAGUCCAGGCCCUACGGGGCGCAGCAGUCGCGAAAACUUCACAAUGUGGGAAACCGCGAUGAGGGGAUUCCAAGUGCUUGCGUUUUGCGUAAGCUGUUCUUCUGCCUAAAAAGCAGGGGAAGUAAGGGCUGGGUAAGACGGGUGCCAGCCGCCGCGGUAAUACCCGCAGCCCGAGUGGUGGUCGAUAUUAUUGAGCUUAAAGCGUCCGUAGCCUGUCUGGUAAAUUCUUGGGUAAAUCGUGCAGCUUAACUGUUCGAAUUCCGGGGAGACUGCCAGACUUGGGACCGGGAGAGGUUGGAGGUACUCCUGGGGUAGGGGUAAAAUCCCGUAAUCCUGGGAGGACCACCAGUGGCGAAGGCGUCCAACUGGAACGGAUCCGACGGUCAGGGACGAAGCCCUGGGUCGCGAACUGGAUUAGAUACCCAGGUAGUCCAGGGUGUAAACGCUGCAGACUUGGUGUCGGAGGUCCUACGAGGGCGUCCGGUGCCGGAGAGAAAUUGUUAAGUCUGCCGCUUGGGGAGUACGUCCGCAAGGAUGAAACUUAAAGGAAUUGGCGGGAG